UUCCACACCUUGUAUGGAAAAAUUCAUCUUCGAUGGCAGCUGUUUCGAUAGGUCUGCUUUGACACAUACCUUUGGUACUUCAAAGUUUGUGCACGCAAUCGUUUAUGGAUGUAGUUUGUCUGGUAUUCCAGCAGCACUCGCUAUGAAACUCAGUCCUUCCCAAGAGUACAUAUUCAUCGGAACCUUCGUCAAGUGUACCCAUAGGAGAGUUAACUUCGCUUGUGAUUCAUCUUUGACCGGAGACCAUUUAGAUACCACUAUCGGAAUUCCUGCUAUGUUCCACAUACCGUGCCUUACAAUCUUCUCCCUAACAGCUUCAUUUGGAAUUCGAAUUCUCAUAGUGACUUCAUCCA
This 353-nucleotide long non-coding RNA is filed under the name Brassica napus (rape). RNAcentral's name for it is "long non-coding RNA (BNAP_LNC018020)". The record is from RNAcentral. Lineage: Eukaryota; Viridiplantae; Streptophyta; Magnoliopsida; Brassicales; Brassicaceae.